GCCCGAGUGGUGAAAUCGGUAGACGCGGUGGAUUCAAAAUCCUCUUCCGAAAGGAGUGACGGUUCAAGUCCGUCCUCGGGCACCA
This 85-nucleotide transfer RNA is filed under the name Moritella viscosa. RNAcentral's name for it is "tRNA-Leu (CAA) (tRNA-Leu-CAA-1-1)". It matches the Rfam family "tRNA". Rfam says of the family: Transfer RNA (tRNA) molecules are approximately 80 nucleotides in length. Their secondary structure includes four short double-helical elements and three loops (D, anti-codon, and T loops). The record is from RNAcentral. RNAcentral also lists the same sequence under 2 other names. Lineage: Bacteria; Pseudomonadati; Pseudomonadota; Gammaproteobacteria; Alteromonadales; Moritellaceae.